Molecule: transfer RNA, 73 nt
Filed under: Ailuropoda melanoleuca (giant panda)
Lineage: Eukaryota; Metazoa; Chordata; Mammalia; Carnivora; Ursidae
Rfam family: tRNA
About the family: Transfer RNA (tRNA) molecules are approximately 80 nucleotides in length. Their secondary structure includes four short double-helical elements and three loops (D, anti-codon, and T loops). Further hydrogen bonds mediate the characteristic L-shaped molecular structure. tRNAs have two regions of fundamental functional importance: the anti-codon, which is responsible for specific mRNA codon recognition, and the 3' end, to which the tRNAs corresponding amino acid is attached (by aminoacyl-tRNA synthetases). tRNAs cope with the degeneracy of the genetic code in two manners: having more than one tRNA (with a specific anti-codon) for a particular amino acid; and 'wobble' base-pairing, i.e. permitting non-standard base-pairing at the 3rd anti-codon position.
Source: Rfam by way of RNAcentral
ACCUGAAUGGCUCAGUCCGUAGAGCAUGUGACUUUUGAUCUCGGCAUCGUGAGUUCGAGCCCCACGUUUGGUG